This 153-nucleotide ribosomal RNA is filed under the name uncultured eukaryote. RNAcentral's name for it is "partial small subunit ribosomal RNA". It matches the Rfam family "Eukaryotic small subunit ribosomal RNA", at positions 1651 to 1805 of the family's 1831-position model. The record is from RNAcentral.
CCCUGCCAUUUGUACACACCGCCCGUCGCACCUACCGAUUGAAUGGUCCGGUGAAACCUCCGGAUCGGCGCAGUCUCCCCUUUCGGGGAACUCGCCGAAAAGUUGGUUGAACCUUACCAUUUAGAGGAAGGUGAAGUCGUAACAAGGUUUCCG